This is a non-coding RNA of Cricetulus griseus (Chinese hamster), 813 nucleotides long. NCBI's taxonomy places the organism in Eukaryota, Metazoa, Chordata, Mammalia, Rodentia, Cricetidae. The record is from RefSeq and is a predicted model, not a curated record.
UGAUGAAGGCCAGGUGUUGUUCCACACAUAGCCAGAAAGCAGAAGAUGAAGUGGGCACCUACAGAAUGGAGGAGGAGGCUAGACAGAGGCAACUAGCCCAAUUCUGAGCUCAUUUGUGUAGGAACUCCAGGUGCUCUAGCACAAGGCAAUAUGAAAUUGAUCAACUAUUGAUAGGAAAUGUGCCAGAGGCCUCAGAAUUUCAUAAAGAAGAAACAACAUUUCAAUAGCAAAAGUUUGAACAAAAAGACUUUGCUAUCACUUGGCAACAAAUCAAGGAAAUGAUAAAGAAAUGUCCUACUUGUUCUUUAUACAACCAAGCUCCACUACCUGUGGGAAGUAACACAAAGGAUACUCAGAGGAAUGAAAUCUGGAAGAUGGAUGUGUUCUGUUUUGUAGAAUUUGGAAAAUUAAGUUUGUCACAGGUGUCACUGCUGAGAGUCAUCUGAGGCCAGUGAUCAGCGCCCCGGAUCUGAAUUCGGUGGCGGGAUCCGACUCAGCAAGGCCUCAGUGGCAGUUCUGCCUCCAUCCACAAGCCCAGAUUGGAACUUGGCAGCAGAAUCCCAAACACCCAGGAUACUCCCAAGGCCCUGGUGGCAGCUCUGACUCCAUCUGCUGGCCCAGGGGGACCCAACACAAACAAACACUGCUGAGGCCCUGGUAACAGUGCCAACUCUAUCCACCAGAAGAAUACAGAUAUCAGAAUAUUGGAUCUGUUUGCAUCUACCAGAAGGGAACCUUGGUCCCAUACCCACCAGGAGAGCAAGAGACUCCUGCUACACCCACCAGAAGAAGGAUGAGAAGAGGACAAGGUAA